Molecule: long non-coding RNA, 1097 nt
Filed under: Zonotrichia albicollis (white-throated sparrow)
Lineage: Eukaryota; Metazoa; Chordata; Aves; Passeriformes; Passerellidae
Description: lncRNA (ENSZALG00000011288.1)
Source: RNAcentral
ACCGCGGGCACGGGAUCCCACCUGUGUGCUGGGGGUUCCUGCGUGCCGCGGGCAGCAACAGCGUGCGGUUGCUGAAGCGAGCUGGAAAUAAGGGAGAUGAGUUACAAGGGGCAGUAGCCGGGAGGAAAUAAAAAAAAAAUAAUUAAAAGCUGAGGGAUUCUCCACAGCCCCCGUCAACAGAAUCUCCAAGUAAAGUUACAGGAUGCAGAUACAGGUUUUAACUACAGUGAACCUGCUGCUGAAGCAUCUCUUCAGUGCCUUUUCUUCCCCACCUAUUGAACUGCAUUUUCCUCGGCACAUCUACUCAGCACUACAGGAACUUUCAUACAUGCUAGAGGUGUUGCAAGAAGAUGAGCAGGAAGCCCAUCCUGCACCAGACAAGCUAGAAUGUUCUGAUAAACAUUUUCAGAGGACAAUCUGUGCUGGAGUUGGAAUAUGCUUCCUGUCGUUCAUCAGAAGAACUGGCAAGCAAGCAAGGCUGACAGAUGUAGUUCAGACUUAUGAGGAUUUCCUGAAAUUCCCAGGAGGUGUGAUGAGUGCACUUCUUCUUCCAAGACUGCUAAUGAAAAGCCACAGCGUUCUGGAGGAGGUACAGAUGGCUUCUGAAGGAUGGUUGUAUGAUGCUUCAUUCAGUGGGAUUCCGACUCAUCAUAGCCAGCCUGCUACCUCAGAGACAGGAGCUGAUGUUUCAAGCAUGAUCGUGGAGCUGAGCACCUUCUGGAGCAGUCACGCUGCAUCUUGGAUGAAUACCAAAGCUGCUGGGCGUUCAGCACUGAGACAGUCUCCAAGGGAGCUGGGAAUGCAUGACCCAGGAAGACCCACAGCUCCAGAAUUCACCAGGAAGCACAGCAUCUCUUCUUUCAUCUCAGGCUAGCUAAAACCUUUCCAUUAGAGCAGGGUUUUCCUAAUCAAAUACCUCUGUGGCAAAAGAUGGUUUGAGAAUUCAUGAUUUAUGUGUUAAAAGACUGAAGAAAGGGGCCUCCUACUAAACAUUCUGUUUCUUUAUCCUGCAUAACCAUACCUUCCCCAUAUUCAUGCUUUGAUGUAGAUAACAGAAAUGAAAUAAAAGUGGUAGAGAUAUUAUGAUUUUUAAUGUU